GUGUUCACUUCGGCAGCACAUAUACUAAACUUGGAACAAUACAGAGAAGAUUAGCACGGUCCCUGUGCAAGAAUGACACUCAAAAUUAAAUAUAAAAAUUAA
RNAcentral lists this small nuclear RNA (102 nucleotides) under Prolemur simus (greater bamboo lemur). The record is from RNAcentral. Lineage: Eukaryota; Metazoa; Chordata; Mammalia; Primates; Lemuridae.